This 238-nucleotide ribosomal RNA is filed under the name uncultured bacterium. RNAcentral describes it as "partial 16S ribosomal RNA". It matches the Rfam family "Bacterial small subunit ribosomal RNA", at positions 28 to 269 of the family's 1533-position model. The record is from RNAcentral.
GACGAACGCUGGCGGCGUGCUUAACACAUGCAAGUGGAGCGACGAACCGGGGCUUGCCCCGGGGCAGAGCCGCGAACGGGUGAGUAACACGUGGGUUACCUGCCCCGAUGACCGGGACAACCCGAGGAAACUCGGGCUAAUACCGGAUGUGGUCUUCGGACGAAAGGAAGCUUUUAUUAGCCUCCGCAUUGGGAUGGGCCCGCGGCGCAUUAGCUUGUUGGUUGGGUAACGGCCUACA